AUCGAGGAGUUCAACUACCACAUAUUUCACACAUCUAUAGCAAGCAUCCAAACCUAACUGGCUCAAUCACAUUAAAAUAAAGUAUGGUCGACGGAUUCCUCUAGUAAACACCACCAGCAAAUCAGGAGAAGGGUCAUCCUCCACCUACUCAAGACUCUCCUAAUGGAAACUCGACCCCAAACUAUCUUCAAAAUAAAGAGGAUGACUCUCAGAUGUACUCCAAGUC
This 226-nucleotide long non-coding RNA is filed under the name Elaeis guineensis (African oil palm). Its description in RNAcentral is "long non-coding RNA (EGUI_LNC013583)". The record is from RNAcentral. Lineage: Eukaryota; Viridiplantae; Streptophyta; Magnoliopsida; Arecales; Arecaceae.